This 25-nucleotide non-coding RNA is filed under the name Cricetulus griseus (Chinese hamster). Lineage: Eukaryota; Metazoa; Chordata; Mammalia; Rodentia; Cricetidae. The record is from RNAcentral.
CAUUUGUGCUUGGAUUUGUUUGUAG